GACGAACGCUGGCGGCGUGCUUAACACAUGCAAGUCGAACGGAAAGGCCCUGCUUUUGUGGGGUGCUCGAGUGGCGAACGGGUGAGUAACACGUGAGUAACCUGCCCUUGACUUUUGGAUAACUUCAGGAAACUGGGGCUAAUACCGGAUAGGAGCUCCUGCUGCAUGGUGGGGGUUGGAAAGUUUCGGCGGUUGGGGAUGGACUCGCGGCUUAUCAGCUUGUUGGUGGGGUAGUGGCUUACCAAGGCUUUGACGGGUAGCCGGCCUGAGAGGGUGACCGGCCACAUUGGGACUGAGAUACGGCCCAGACUCCUACGGGAGGCAGCAGUGGGGAAUAUUGCACAAUGGGCGGAAGCCUGAUGCAGCAACGCCGCGUGCGGGAUGACGGCCUUCGGGUUGUAAACCGCGUUCGCCUGUGACGAAGCGUGAGUGACGGUAAUGGGUAAAGAAGCACCGGCUAACUACGUG
RNAcentral lists this ribosomal RNA (468 nucleotides) under uncultured bacterium. Its description in RNAcentral is "partial 16S ribosomal RNA". It matches the Rfam family "Bacterial small subunit ribosomal RNA", at positions 28 to 507 of the family's 1533-position model. The record is from RNAcentral.